Molecule: ribosomal RNA, 468 nt
Filed under: uncultured bacterium
Lineage: Bacteria
Description: partial 16S ribosomal RNA
Rfam family: Bacterial small subunit ribosomal RNA
Source: RNAcentral
GACGAACGCUGGCGGCGUGCUUAACACAUGCAAGUCGAACGGAAAGGCCCUGCUUUUGUGGGGUGCUCGAGUGGCGAACGGGUGAGUAACACGUGAGUAACCUGCCCUUGACUUUGGGAUAUCUUCAGGAAACUGGGGCUAAUACCGGAUAGGAGCUCCUGCUGCAUGGUGGGGGAUGGAAAGUUUCGGCGGUUGGGGAUGGAAUCGCGGCUUAUCAGCUUGUUGGUGGGGUAGUGGCUUACCAAGGCUUUGACGGGUAGCCGGCCUGGGAGGGUGACCGGGCACAAUGGGACUGAGAUAGGGCCCAGACGCGUACGGGAGGCAGCGGUGGGGAAUAUUACACAAUGAGCGGGAGCCUGAUGCAGAAGCGCCGCGUGCGGGAUAACGGGCUUCGGGUUGUAAACCGCUUUCGCCUGUGACGAAGCGUGAGUGACGGUAAUGGGUAAAGAAGCACCGGCUAACUACGUG